Molecule: ribosomal RNA, 460 nt
Filed under: uncultured bacterium
Lineage: Bacteria
Description: partial 16S ribosomal RNA
Rfam family: Bacterial small subunit ribosomal RNA
Source: RNAcentral
CCUACGGGAGGCAGCAGUGAGGAAUAUUGGUCAAUGGACGCAAGUCUGAACCAGCCAUGCCGCGUGCAGGAAGACGGCUCUAUGAGUUGUAAACUGCUUUUGUACGAGGGUAAACGCAGAUACGCGUAUCUGUCUGAAAGUAUCGUACGAAUAAGGAUCGGCUAACUCCGUGCCAGCAGCCGCGGUAAUACGGAGGAUUCAAGCGUUAUCCGGAUUUAUUGGGUUUAAAGGGUGCGUAGGCGGUCGGAUAAGUUAGAGGUGAAAUCCCGAGGCUCAACUUCGGAAUUGCCUCUGAUACUGUUCGGCUAGAGAGUAGUUGCGGUAGGCGGAAUGUAUGGUGUAGCGGUGAAAUGCUUAGAGAUCAUACAGAACACCGAUUGCGAAGGCAGCUUACCAAACUAUAUCUGACGUUGAGGCACGAAAGCGUGGGUAGCAAACAGGAUUAGAUACCCUUGUAGUC